UUAAUGUGGAGUAGUAACACCUUUUUCAAAGGGCUUCCAAAGGAGCUCCUCCUCAAGGAGAGGCUUGGUGAGAAGAAGCACAUACCAGAAAGGCCCUUGUUGAAGGCAGCACUUCCCCAUAGCCUGCUGUUUUCUCCACAGGCUUGAUCUUCCAAAUGUCAGUAAAACUUCUGCCCAGCAGUACGACCAAGGAGAACAUGCUGUGGGUAUGGCAUGUUCCUGCUCCUGCAGAACCAGCUCCAAGGAGAGGCAGGAGAGCUCAGUACAGACCUACAGAUUCAGCAUGCAGGCUCCAGAAUCCUAUUGAUGUAAUUCCGCUUUUCCUUGUUGGGAUUAGGACAAGCAUGCUCGCAGGCUCCCGUUAUCGCAGUGGAGGUAACGCGGGACGGAGCGAGGGCAGGCAGUGCUGAGUGAUCCUUGCCAGGUACCCAGCUGGCGCUGCCAAAGCGCGCGGGGCUUUCCUCCAAAUGCUUCCACCGCAGGAGAAACGUGUCUUCUGCUGCCAAGGGUCUGGGAAUGUCACUUAGCCUGGGGAAAGCUUGCCAUCGCUGUAUGACAGCCACUUCACCAGUCAGUCCAGUAACGCUCUGUGAAAACAAAAGGUUACGUGCCCCGUGCCAGAAGGACUGUCUUCACUGACAGUGGAACACGUCAGAUGUCUGGCCAUUUCAGGAGCUGUUCUCAGAAAGAACACGAGGAAAUGGGAGUCAUGUGUUACAGAGCAGUGUCCUCUGCAGUCCAAGGCACACUGACUAAACGUAUGUCACAUUCCUAUAGCACCUCUUAGGAUAAAUGUUGUAUGAACUAUAUCAAAAGUCUGGUUUCCUUCCUCAUAAAAAAGUUCCUUUGAAAUCUGAAGUUAUCUGAGUUGCCUGCACCCCAUUUUUUUGUUCAUUUCUUUAGCAAAUGAAUAAAGAUGGAUUUUUUUUCA
RNAcentral lists this long non-coding RNA (931 nucleotides) under Anas platyrhynchos platyrhynchos (common mallard). Its description in RNAcentral is "lncRNA (ENSAPLG00000019076.1)". Lineage: Eukaryota; Metazoa; Chordata; Aves; Anseriformes; Anatidae. The record is from RNAcentral.